UCAGCAUUAGAUACCUUACAGUGGUAAUCCAUUUUAGGUAUUUGGUUUAAUCUUACAUUAUUUACCUUUUCAUCUUUCUGCCCAUCACGCUAAACAUUGUUGACGGAGAAAAUACUGCUGGACAAGAUUUACGUCUCGUACGACAGAAACAUUCACGUCUUCUUACUACCGUCAGGUUACCUACCUUUUCUUUCCUCUGCCGCAUGACUGAUACGCUGGUUUCGAGGUUGAGGGCAAGUGAAAGAGGAUCGCAAAAAAAAAUCAUCGCCAUCUCUACUACAGGCAUUUUUUAAAUCUCAAAUGAUUGAGUGCCAACAAGCAUUGAAAUGCCUUACACGCGGGUUUGAUGGAUAUUGCCAUGAAGACUGCCGAAGUUGGCCAUCGUACGGAAACCUAGAAAUGGCGUGAGUUCCACAUCAAACAUGUAUUAGAAUUUUAGUGGAGGAAUUUUUUGUUAAACAUGCUUGAUCUACACAAAAAUUUUCUGUUCAGAGCCUUAUGCAAUGGUUUUCAUUUCCAAUUUGUAUGUUCUUUCGCAAGCAUCUGCCAGAAGUUUUAUAUGAAUGCCAAACAGUGAAUCUAUGAGUCAUGUAAGUCACUUUAGCAAGAAUUUUGUGUGCUUAACGGUUUUUUUUCUGUUCUUAAAAUAGGUUAAUGGUAACACUGGAUCAGAAAAGGGUCUUGAAUGAGACGAGACACUGAAUAAAUUGUGAUGAUUAACGUAACGGAUGACAUGGAAUUUAUAUACUUCAUUCGGAUUCCCAUACGGUAUUUAAUAUUUAAAAAAUUGAAGUGCAUAUCUGGGCUCCCUUCCUUUCCGUAGCCCCGUUUCCCCUUGACUCGUAAUAAGCCCGUAGGGGGUCAUGCCCCUACUGUACGGUAUAUAUAAAAAUAACAUAUACCGAGGUUUGGAGGGCUCUGGCCGGAAAGGGGACGUGGGGGUCCGCGUAGUCCGAUGAUGUGUUCACGGAGGGCGACGUGGCUAUCCGCAAAUCCGAAUUAAAGGUUAAUCGCUCCAGUAAAAAUGUUCCAUAUC
Molecule: long non-coding RNA, 1036 nt
Organism: Daphnia carinata
Lineage: Eukaryota; Metazoa; Arthropoda; Branchiopoda; Diplostraca; Daphniidae
Exons: 4
Source: RefSeq, a predicted model, not a curated record